GGGGAGGUGGCAGAGUGGUCGAAUGUGUCUGCCUUGAAAGCAGAAGAGCCAAAAAAGCUCCGUGGGUUCAAAUCCCACCCUUUCCU
This 86-nucleotide transfer RNA is filed under the name Spumella sp. Baekdong012001B8. RNAcentral describes it as "tRNA-Ser". It matches the Rfam family "tRNA". From Rfam's summary of the family: Transfer RNA (tRNA) molecules are approximately 80 nucleotides in length. Their secondary structure includes four short double-helical elements and three loops (D, anti-codon, and T loops). The record is from RNAcentral. Lineage: Eukaryota; Chrysophyceae; Chromulinales; Chromulinaceae.